This 254-nucleotide ribosomal RNA is filed under the name uncultured bacterium. RNAcentral describes it as "partial 16S ribosomal RNA". It matches the Rfam family "Bacterial small subunit ribosomal RNA", at positions 524 to 776 of the family's 1533-position model. The record is from RNAcentral.
UACGUAGGUGGCAAGCGUUGUCCGGAUUUACUGGGCGUAAAGAGCGCGCAGGCGGUCGUUUAAGUCGAAUGUGAAAGCCCCCGGCUCAACUGGGGAGGGUCAUUCGAUACUGAUCGACUUGAAGGCAGGAGAGGGAAGUGGAAUUCCGGGUGUAGUGGUGAAAUGCGUAGAGAUCCGGAAGAACACCGGUGGCGAAGGCGGCCCGCUGGGCAGGAUGCUGACGCUGAGGCGCGACAGCGUGGGGAGCAAACAGG